GCAGCGAGGGGGGUAUUGCAGGAUGCCUCUUCGAGCGCUCUAAUUCACUGCGGUGCUUUCAAGUACGUCCGCGGUCCUCAAGGACCGUUUUUUGUUGGACUUACCAGGUACGGCAAAGGUCGGGAAGGGGGUUAAAGAAACACUCUUAAAUUAUAACUUCUCGAUCAUGCUCUUGGGAAUACGUACUCUAACACACUGCUUUUACAAUCUGGGAUUCUUGUGACUUUGUAUUUCCUUGUUAGGCAGAUCAACUCUGGACGUUUCUGAAAUUUUACAGAACUGCUAUAACUCUCUCUCCUCAUACUAAUUUCUCUAUCUUUAAAAACACUCUUACUUGCAUUCACCAUCCAUUGGACUACAUCUCCAGAAUACCAAAAGAAUAUUCUACAAAUUGGUAAAUAUGCUGGUUUAAUUUAACUUUUACUAAAAGCAGAAAAAUACCUGGAUAAUGCUGAUCAGAUUUCAAAACUUUGGAAAUCAUAUUUAGCUGAGGAAUCAUAGGACUCAAAUUUUUAUACUGCAGCAAAAAAUGUGAUUAUAUUGAGUCGCUGGUCGUGAUGUCCCGAACGGUUCGCUGCAGAUGGCGAACAUAUGUGGUAAACUUUGACCC
Pelobates cultripes (western spadefoot toad) is the source of this 610-nucleotide non-coding RNA. Lineage: Eukaryota; Metazoa; Chordata; Amphibia; Anura; Pelobatidae. The record is from the annotation of a GenBank genome assembly.